UGGGCAACCUGCCCCUCUUUCUGGGAUAACCCCGGGAAACCGGAGCUAAUACCGGAUACUCCGGCUGGAUCGCAUGGUCCGGCCGGGAAAGGUCCGCCGGAGAGGGAUGGGCCCGCGGCCUAUCAGCUUGUUGGUGGGGUCAUGGCUCACCAAGGCGACGACGGGUAGCUGGUCUGAGAGGACGACCAGCCACACUGGAACUGAGAUACGGUCCAGACUCCUACGGGAGGCA
This 232-nucleotide ribosomal RNA is filed under the name uncultured bacterium. RNAcentral describes it as "partial 16S ribosomal RNA". It matches the Rfam family "Bacterial small subunit ribosomal RNA", at positions 118 to 350 of the family's 1533-position model. The record is from RNAcentral.